AAAUUGAAGAGUUUGAUCAUGGCUCAGAUUGAACGCUGGCGGCAGGCCUAACACAUGCAAGUCGAACGGUAACAGGAAGCAGCUUGCUGCUUUGCUGACGAGUGGCGGACGGGUGAGUAAUGUCUGGGAAACUGCCUGAUGGAGGGGGAUAACUACUGGAAACGGUGGCUAAUACCGCAUAACGUCGCAAGACCAAAGAGGGGGACCUUCGGGCCUCUUGCCAUCAGAUGUGCCCAGAUGGGAUUAGCUUGUUGGUGAGGUAACGGCUCACCAAGGCGACGAUCCCUAGCUGGUCUGAGAGGAUGACCAGCCACACUGGAACUGAGACACGGUCCAGACUCCUACGGGAGGCAGCAGUGGGGAAUAUUGCACAAUGGGCGCAAGCCUGAUGCAGCCAUGCCGCGUGUAUGAAGAAGGCCUUCGGGUUGUAAAGUACUUUCAGCGGGGAGGAAGGUGUUGUGGUUAAUAACCGCAGCAAUUGACGUUACCCGCAGAAGAAGCACCGGCUAACUCCGUGCCAGCAGCCGCGGUAAUACGGAGGGUGCAAGCGUUAAUCGGAAUUACUGGGCGUAAAGCGCACGCAGGCGGUCUGUCAAGUCGGAUGUGAAAUCCCCGGGCUCAACCUGGGAACUGCAUUCGAAACUGGCAGGCUUGAGUCUUGUAGAGGGGGGUAGAAUUCCAGGUGUAGCGGUGAAAUGCGUAGAGAUCUGGAGGAAUACCGGUGGCGAAGGCGGCCCCCUGGACAAAGACUGACGCUCAGGUGCGAAAGCGUGGGGAGCAAACAGGAUUAGAUACCCUGGUAGUCCACGCCGUAAACGAUGUCUACUUGGAGGUUGUGCCCUUGAGGCGUGGCUUCCGGAGCUAACGCGUUAAGUAGACCGCCUGGGGAGUACGGCCGCAAGGUUAAAACUCAAAUGAAUUGACGGGGGCCCGCACAAGCGGUGGAGCAUGUGGUUUAAUUCGAUGCAACGCGAAGAACCUUACCUGGUCUUGACAUCCACGGAAGUUUUCAGAGAUGAGAAUGGUGCCUUCGGAACCGUGAGACAGGUGCUGCAUGGCUGUCGUCAGCUCGUGUUGUGAAAUGUUGGGUUAAGUCCCGCAACGAGCGCAACCCUUAUCCUUUGUUGCCAGCGGUCCGGCCGGGAACUCAAAGGAGACUGCCAGUGAUAAACUGGAGGAAGGGUGGGGAUGACGUCAAGUCAUCAUGGCCCUUACGACCAGGGCUACACACGUGCUACAAUGGCGCAUACAAAGAGAAGCGACCUCGCGAGAGCAAGCGGACCUCAUAAAGUGCGUCGUAGUCCGGAUUGGAGUCUGCAACUCGACUCCAUGAAGUCGGAAUCGCUAGUAAUCGUGGAUCAGAAUGCCACGGUGAAUACGUUCCCGGGCCUUGUACACACCGCCCGUCACACCAUGGGAGUGGGUUGCAAAAGAAGUAGGUAGCUUAACCUUCGGGAGGGCGCUUACCACUUUGUGAUUCAUGACUGGGGUGAAGUCGUAACAAGGUAACCGUAGGGGAACCUGCGGUUGGAUCACCUCCUUACCUUCU
Molecule: ribosomal RNA, 1549 nt
Filed under: Salmonella enterica subsp. enterica serovar Paratyphi A
Lineage: Bacteria; Pseudomonadati; Pseudomonadota; Gammaproteobacteria; Enterobacterales; Enterobacteriaceae
Description: bacterial SSU rRNA
Rfam family: Bacterial small subunit ribosomal RNA
Source: RNAcentral